RNAcentral lists this ribosomal RNA (482 nucleotides) under uncultured bacterium. RNAcentral describes it as "partial 16S ribosomal RNA". It matches the Rfam family "Bacterial small subunit ribosomal RNA", at positions 28 to 507 of the family's 1533-position model. The record is from RNAcentral.
GUUGAACGCUGGCGGCAUGCUUUACACAUGCCAGUCGAACGGUAACAGGCCGCAAGGUGCUGACGAGUGGCGAACGGGUGAGUAAUGCAUCGGAACGUGCCCAGUCCUUGUGGGUAACUACUCGAAUGAGGAGCUAAUACCUCAUACGAUCUAUUGAUGAAAGCGGGGGGCCGUAAGGCCUCGCGCGGUUGUAGCGGCCGAUGUCAGAUUAGUUAGUUGGUGGGGUAAAGGCUCACCAAGCCAACGAUCUGUAGCUGUUCUGAGAGGACAAGCAGCCACACUGGAACUGAGACACGGUCCAGACUCCUACGGGAGGCAGCAGUGGGGAAUUUUGGACAAUGGGCGCAAGCCUGAUCCAGCAAUGCCGCGUGAAGGAAGAAGGCCUUCGGGUUGUAAAAUGCUGUUGUAAGGAAAGAAACGGCUCUGGUUAAUACCCGGGGCUAAUGACGGUACCGUAAGAAUAAGCACCGGCUAACUACGUG